AAGGAAUGCUAUUUCAAACUCUGAACCAUCAAACACACACAAUUCUAGGUACAUGAUAAAGACGGCCAGAAGAUACACCAUAACUGAACUAACCAAGAGCCUGGUUCUCCCCUGUUCCAGCAACCUCUUCUGUAGGCUCCUAUGGUGAAGCUGAAGGCAAAUGAACAUACUUGGACACAGCCCUUCCGUUCAAGGACCAGUGAGAGAUCUUUCAAAGGGAGAGGCGUCAGGCUGGAAUCCCUGAUGAAGGGUAAGUUCUCAUCACCAAGGAAACUAAGCAGGUCUUCUCCUUCAACGUGGAAGAUACUCAAAGGCUGCCUAAACCAUGCAUGUGAUGUACAGUGGAGUCUGAAAGUUUAUAAACAGCAGGGGGAAGGCUAAGCAUCGUGACCAGUAAGUAUGCAAAUCCUGCAGAUCCCGGUACUUCUUGUUUACCUUCUUGGAUGAUGGCUACAGGAUUCAGAAACUGCCUAUCGGCGCAAAUAAGUUUCUAAAGCAACAUGACCUACAGAAGAAGAACCCUUCAUGACCGACAAAGGAGAACUCCCAUUUGUUAUACGGGAAUAUCCUAUGAAGGGUCUCACCUCUAUUGAGAAGCUCCAAGGUCUAAAUUGAGAAGUUACAAUAAAAUACUUGCCUUCAGGUAAAAAACAUCUUUAUCAAAUGUUUAUUCAUGUCAGGGAAAGGCCCAGGAACUCAGCCUCUAGUAAGAAGAAACUCUUUCAGCACUGAAGUUAAGACUGCAGGGCUAGGCCAGCAGUGGAGAUAGAUCCAGCUUGUC
This is a long non-coding RNA of Cygnus olor (mute swan), 781 nucleotides long. RefSeq lists it as uncharacterized. The record is from RefSeq and is a predicted model, not a curated record. The transcript has 4 exons. Lineage: Eukaryota; Metazoa; Chordata; Aves; Anseriformes; Anatidae.